GACGAACGCUGGCGGCGUGCUUGACACAUGCAAGUCGAACGGUAAGGCCCUUCGGGGUACACGAGUGGCGAACGGGUGAGUAACACGUGGGUGAUCUGCCCUGCACUUCGGGAUAAGCCUGGGAAACUGGGUCUAAUACCGGAUAGGACCACUGCCUGCAUGGGGGGUGGUGGAAAGCUUUUGCGGUGUGGGAUGGGCCCGCGGCCUAUCAGCUUGUUGGGGGGGUGAUGGCCUACCAAGGCGAUGACGGGUCGCCGGCCUGAGAGGGCGAGCGGCCACACUGGGACUGAGAGACGGCCCAGACUCCUACGGGAGGCAGCAGUGGGGAAUAUUGCACAAUGGGCGCAAGCCUGAUGCAGCGACGCCGCGUGAGGGAUGACGGCCUUCGGGUUGUAAACCUCUUUCAGCACCGACGAAGCGCAAGUGACGGUAGGUGCAGAAGAAGGACCGGCCAACUACGUGCCAGCAGCCGCAGUAA
RNAcentral lists this ribosomal RNA (478 nucleotides) under uncultured bacterium. RNAcentral's name for it is "partial 16S ribosomal RNA". It matches the Rfam family "Bacterial small subunit ribosomal RNA", at positions 28 to 523 of the family's 1533-position model. The record is from RNAcentral.